Molecule: ribosomal RNA, 497 nt
Filed under: uncultured bacterium
Lineage: Bacteria
Description: partial 16S ribosomal RNA
Rfam family: Bacterial small subunit ribosomal RNA
Source: RNAcentral
GAUGAACGCUGGCGGCGUGCCUAAUACAUGCAAGUCGAGCGAACAGACGAGGAGCUUGCUCCUCUGACGUUAGCGGCGGACGGGUGAGUAACACGUGGAUAACCUACCUAUAAGACUGGGAUAACUUCGGGAAACCGGUGCUACUACCGGCUAAUAUAUUCAACCGCAUGGUUCAAUAGUGAAAGACGGUUUUGCUGUCACUUAUAGAUGGAUCCGCGCCGCAUUAGCUAGUUGGUAAGGUAACGGCUUACCAAGGCAACGAUGCGUAGCCGACCUGAGAGGGUGAUCGGCCACACUGGAACUGAGACACGGUCCAGACUCCUACGGGAGGCAGCAGUAGGGAAUCUUCCGCAAUGGGCGAAAGCCUGACGGAGCAACGCCGCGUGAGUGAUGAAGGUCUUCGGAUCGUAAAACUCUGUUAUUAGGGAAGAACAAAUGUGUAAGUAACUAUGCACGUCUUGACGGUACCUAAUCAGAAAGCCACGGCUAACUACGUG